Long non-coding RNA from Morus notabilis, 294 nucleotides. RefSeq lists it as uncharacterized. Lineage: Eukaryota; Viridiplantae; Streptophyta; Magnoliopsida; Rosales; Moraceae. The transcript has 3 exons. The record is from RefSeq and is a predicted model, not a curated record.
GUGUCUUACCUUAACAAAGAAAAAGAAUCAUGUUGGAUGGAGGUCCGAACUUCCUGCGAUCACUUGGUGUCCCUUUCGUCUGAUCUCAUUCACAUCCCCACACCAGAUACUCCUUGCCAAGUUUGUCAGGACCCAAAUGACAAUUGUCUCUGUUUAAGCUGCAAAGGGGUUUUCUGUAGCCGUUAUGUUAACAUGCACUUUCAAGACCAUUAUCGCAAGACACUUCACUGCUUAGCAUUUCACUACAAAGAUUUAUCAUUUUGGUGCAACUCCUGCAAUGCUUAUUUAGAUGCG